AAAAAACAACAACAAACCAUUCGUCCUGCAAACCCGACGAUCGAUUUUAAAGCCACCUUCGUUAAGGACAGGAGAGAAAAAGGAAAGUUUGAGGUUGGGUGAAACCUUUAUUUAAUCACUAAGAAGCUACAAGUAAGACGAGAUUCCGAGUUCCUUGUUUGUAACUUUUUAGGGAUCCGAUAGAGAACUUGCUCAGUCUGGGACGUCGUUGCUGUAAAUAGAUUAUACCGCAAUAUACAGAUAUAGGUAUAGGGACUUCAACCUCAUUCCUCCUGCAUCUGGCAUGAAAUCAGUCUUUGAGCCUUCGACAUUGCAGAAGUUAACCGUGCCAGAAUGGAUACAUCAAGUCUUCCGAUUCUUAACAAAGCCUUGGAUAUCUGAUACAGAGAUGCAUUGCUUCACACAGGCAACCAGUGCAACAUGACGGACAUAAUGCAAAGAAUUUCCCUUUCCAAGCCACAUGUAGACCAGGGGAUGUAUAGAACAUUGUACAUGGUCGACUACAAGCCCUAUGCGGAACAUCAUCAGUGGCGUCCCAUGAUGGACCCUUCACAGAGACUAAAACUGGAAGCCCAGCUGAAGGAGAAGGAGCUUGCAAGGCCUGUUCAGAAGAAACCGGUGAAAUAUGUUGAGGAGCCUGGCUGUCAAGAAGUUCAGCCACCUUAUCCUGUAGGAAUGGUUGGGAGGGCCUCAAAAGGCCUAGAAGCUCCACCGCCAAACCAACAAGCCCAAGAAGAACAAUGGAACCACUCCCUUCCUCUUGCUGAUCCAACUGCAAUUCAAGAAAAGGAAGCUGAGAGAUUAGCUCAGCUGGCAGAUGCUAUUGCUCUGACAGGUAAAGAGGCAUGGGACCCUUUCCCAUUCAGGCCCUUCAACCUUUCAUUCAUAUGUGGUUUGGAGUGGGAACAAGGAAACAAGUGUAGUGAAUGUAGCUGGCUGCUGUAUAGGGCGGGCCUGCUUGCAAAAUUU
RNAcentral lists this long non-coding RNA (969 nucleotides) under Pogona vitticeps (central bearded dragon). RNAcentral describes it as "lncRNA (ENSPVIG00000003761.1)". The record is from RNAcentral. Lineage: Eukaryota; Metazoa; Chordata; Lepidosauria; Squamata; Agamidae.